Molecule: long non-coding RNA, 1602 nt
Organism: Hordeum vulgare subsp. vulgare (domesticated barley)
Lineage: Eukaryota; Viridiplantae; Streptophyta; Magnoliopsida; Poales; Poaceae
Exons: 2
Source: RefSeq, a predicted model, not a curated record
CAAAAAAAGCCAACAAGGCCAUAUUGAACUCCCUAAGAUUAGGGACUCCCAUACCCCUAUGAAUAACUACCGUAUCAUGUUAAAUGGUACGAUAAGAUUGAACUCCCUAAGAUUAGGGACUCCCAUACCCCCACGAAUAACUCCCUAAGAGUAGUAACAUAUACUCGGGAAUAGCAAACAUGCUGAUAUGGCAGAAAAUUAAAGAAGAAAGAGAAGGUUAGAGUAACUACCGUAUCAUGUUAAAUGCAAUGCUACUUUGUGUCAUGCAUGGCAACAAAUAAGAUCAUCUAUGAUACAAGUUUAUGAUACUACUAUGCACUAUAAAGUGUUACUCCCCACUAUGACCAACCUUAGAGAUUGAAGAGCGGCUCCAUGCUUUCAAACUUUUUACCUUCUGCGCAUGUGUGACUGUAUGCGCAUGACUGUGGCAACUACUACUGCCAUGUCCGUAUUUACUACUCCCUCCGUUUCAAAAUUCUUGUCUUAGAUUUGUCUAGAUAUGAAUGUACCUAGUCAUGUUUUAGUAUUUUGAUACAUCCAUUUCUAGACAAACCUAAGACAAGAAUUUUAAGACGCAGGGAGUACUUCGGUAUACAAUAACGCAUCGGCAGCUACCGUACGGUACAUAUUACUCUUCAUUUAUCAUAUUUUGCAUUAAAAUUUGACUACAUAUUUAACUUGUAAAAUAUUAUUGCAUGUCAAAAAAAUAUUAUGCUCAUCCUACGGGUUUCAAAAAUCUCGUCAAUCAAGAUUGUUUAUAUACGGUGAACACUAAACGGCUAAGAGCAAUUCUAGGAGACCCUUAAAUCGCCCCGACCUGUAAAAUAAUCACUUGUUUACAGUUUUAGACAAAAAAAAGACCCAAACAUAAACUUAAAAGUGUCUGACCCGAUUUUUUUUUAAGGACAUGGAAAAUCCCCCCUCCGACCCGCAAAAAUACACUUCCCCCUCCCCCAUCCGUCGGCGCCUUCUAUAUAUAUAUAUAUAUCCCGCAGAAGCGGAUGGCGGGAGGGACAUUUCAGCUCGCGCGCUCGCAACAUCCCCUCCUGCAGACGCUCAUCACCGUCGCUGUCGGUGGCCGCCUGCAAUUCCAGUCAUCUCGGCGAGCGGAAUCGCGCCGCUCGCCCUUGAUCUGGCGAGCCGAGCCACUGCGCCGCCGCCGCCGCCCCGAAUAGGCCGCCUCCAGCCGCUGGGCGCACCGGACGCCCGCCCCAGAUUCGCCGAACCGCCACUGUUGCCGCCGCCCUGUUUUUGAUGGAUUUGAGCCCGUGCGGGCAAUUUUUUCUUGAUGAUUCAUCCUCGUCAGACGACUCGAGCGUGGAAUCAAUUCUCAAGCGCUAUCGUCAACACAUGGUCGUGGCGAUCCUAGCCGUGAAGGAGGAGGAGGAUCGAAACUGUAAAAGACGGCGAGCACCAUUUGGCAAAGACAUCGGCCUAUUUUACAUUCAUUUCAUUUAAUUCAUGUGUGAUCGGUAUCAUUGAUGUAUUCGAAACAAUUGUUGUAAUGAAUUAUUAGUUUUAUUUGGUGAUUUGAAUAAUCAUUGUAAUUUUGAUACAUAAUGUUCCCAUUUUAUCUUAUUUGAGAUAUGUGUAGCUCUGAAA